This 326-nucleotide ribosomal RNA is filed under the name uncultured Spirochaetota bacterium. RNAcentral describes it as "bacterial SSU rRNA". It matches the Rfam family "Bacterial small subunit ribosomal RNA", at positions 28 to 351 of the family's 1533-position model. Lineage: Bacteria; Pseudomonadati; Spirochaetota. The record is from RNAcentral.
AACGAACGCUGGCGGCGCGUUUUAAGCAUGCAAGUCGAACGGUAGCAGGUAGCAAUACCUGCGAGAGUGGCGCACGGGUGAGUAAGACGUAGGUGAUCUACCUCUGGGUGGGGGAUAGUCCGUGGAAACACGGGGUAAUACCGCAUGAGGCCUUGUGGGUGGAGCCAUGAGGUGAAAGGUGCAAUUGCAUCGUCUGGGGAUGAGCCUGCGGUCCAUUAGGUAGUUGGCGGGGUAAGGGCCCACCAAGCCUACGAUGGAUAGCCGGCCUGAGAGGGUGUACGGCCACACUGGAACUGAGACACGGUCCAGACUCCUACGGGUGGCUG